AACGAGCGCUGGCGGCAUGCCUAACACAUGCAAGUCGAACGAGACCUUCGGGUCUAGUGGCGCACGGGUGCGUAACGCGUGGGAACCUGCCCUUAGGUUCGGAAUAACUCCACGAAAGGGGUGCUAAUACCGGAUAAUGUCUUCAGACCAAAGAUUUAUCGCCUUUGGUUGGUACCACGAUGGAUUAGCUAGUUAGUAGGGUAAUAGCCUACAAAGGCGUCGAUCCAUAUCUGGUCUGAGAGGAUGAUCAGCCACACUGGGACUGAGACACGGCCCAGACUCCUACGUGAGGCAGCAGUGGGGAAUGUUGGACAACCGGCGAAAGCCUAAUCCGACAAUGCCGCGUGAGUGAUGAAGGCCUUAAGGUUGUAAAGCUCAUUUACCCAGGAUGAUAAUGACAGUACCGGGAGAAUAAGCACCGGCUAACUCCGUG
RNAcentral lists this ribosomal RNA (433 nucleotides) under uncultured bacterium. RNAcentral's name for it is "partial 16S ribosomal RNA". It matches the Rfam family "Bacterial small subunit ribosomal RNA", at positions 29 to 507 of the family's 1533-position model. The record is from RNAcentral.